Molecule: ribosomal RNA, 1522 nt
Filed under: Salmonella enterica subsp. enterica serovar Heidelberg
Lineage: Bacteria; Pseudomonadati; Pseudomonadota; Gammaproteobacteria; Enterobacterales; Enterobacteriaceae
Also listed under: 4 other names
Description: bacterial SSU rRNA
Rfam family: Bacterial small subunit ribosomal RNA
Source: RNAcentral
AGAGUUUGAUCAUGGCUCAGAUUGAACGCUGGCGGCAGGCCUAACACAUGCAAGUCGAACGGUAACAGGAAGCAGCUUGCUGCUUCGCUGACGAGUGGCGGACGGGUGAGUAAUGUCUGGGAAACUGCCUGAUGGAGGGGGAUAACUACUGGAAACGGUGGCUAAUACCGCAUAACGUCGCAAGACCAAAGAGGGGGACCUUCGGGCCUCUUGCCAUCAGAUGUGCCCAGAUGGGAUUAGCUUGUUGGUGAGGUAACGGCUCACCAAGGCGACGAUCCCUAGCUGGUCUGAGAGGAUGACCAGCCACACUGGAACUGAGACACGGUCCAGACUCCUACGGGAGGCAGCAGUGGGGAAUAUUGCACAAUGGGCGCAAGCCUGAUGCAGCCAUGCCGCGUGUAUGAAGAAGGCCUUCGGGUUGUAAAGUACUUUCAGCGGGGAGGAAGGUGUUGUGGUUAAUAACCACAGCAAUUGACGUUACCCGCAGAAGAAGCACCGGCUAACUCCGUGCCAGCAGCCGCGGUAAUACGGAGGGUGCAAGCGUUAAUCGGAAUUACUGGGCGUAAAGCGCACGCAGGCGGUCUGUCAAGUCGGAUGUGAAAUCCCCGGGCUCAACCUGGGAACUGCAUUCGAAACUGGCAGGCUUGAGUCUUGUAGAGGGGGGUAGAAUUCCAGGUGUAGCGGUGAAAUGCGUAGAGAUCUGGAGGAAUACCGGUGGCGAAGGCGGCCCCCUGGACAAAGACUGACGCUCAGGUGCGAAAGCGUGGGGAGCAAACAGGAUUAGAUACCCUGGUAGUCCACGCCGUAAACGAUGUCUACUUGGAGGUUGUGCCCUUGAGGCGUGGCUUCCGGAGCUAACGCGUUAAGUAGACCGCCUGGGGAGUACGGCCGCAAGGUUAAAACUCAAAUGAAUUGACGGGGGCCCGCACAAGCGGUGGAGCAUGUGGUUUAAUUCGAUGCAACGCGAAGAACCUUACCUGGUCUUGACAUCCACAGAACUUUCCAGAGAUGGAUUGGUGCCUUCGGGAACUGUGAGACAGGUGCUGCAUGGCUGUCGUCAGCUCGUGUUGUGAAAUGUUGGGUUAAGUCCCGCAACGAGCGCAACCCUUAUCCUUUGUUGCCAGCGGUUAGGCCGGGAACUCAAAGGAGACUGCCAGUGAUAAACUGGAGGAAGGUGGGGAUGACGUCAAGUCAUCAUGGCCCUUACGACCAGGGCUACACACGUGCUACAAUGGCGCAUACAAAGAGAAGCGACCUCGCGAGAGCAAGCGGACCUCAUAAAGUGCGUCGUAGUCCGGAUUGGAGUCUGCAACUCGACUCCAUGAAGUCGGAAUCGCUAGUAAUCGUGGAUCAGAAUGCCACGGUGAAUACGUUCCCGGGCCUUGUACACACCGCCCGUCACACCAUGGGAGUGGGUUGCAAAAGAAGUAGGUAGCUUAACCUUCGGGAGGGCGCUUACCACUUUGUGAUUCAUGACUGGGGUGAAGUCGUAACAAGGUAACCGUAGGGGAACCUGCGGUUG